This 403-nucleotide long non-coding RNA is filed under the name Brassica rapa (field mustard). Its description in RNAcentral is "long non-coding RNA (BRAP_LNC006155)". Lineage: Eukaryota; Viridiplantae; Streptophyta; Magnoliopsida; Brassicales; Brassicaceae. The record is from RNAcentral.
UCCUCCUCCAUUUUUCAGACCAAAGUACCCGAGGCAACCAGGGAUGCCUGGUAAUGUUUACUGCCACCCAUGUUCUAAAAAUUGGUCUAUGCACCCACCUAGGCAGCAAAAUGGUCCUACCUGAAACAAAUUUUUUAAAAAUCCGAUUUAUAUGAUUUAAAUUGGUUCAAACUGUUUUAAAUCGGUCUAAAUAAAAUUAGUCUAAAUCUAUUAAAUUAAACAAUAAUGUUAGUACAAAUCCACAAAUUUGUCAUUCAUCGAUCUUUGAUUGAGUUUAUGGAUACUAACCUUAAAGAGGUUUCUGUUGCAGAUGAUGAGCUGGACAUGGAAAACGCUUUCAAAAGAGCAAUGCCUUGGAUGGGAGAAGAGUUUGGGAUGAAAGACGCGCAGAGUUCGAUGUUUC